Molecule: ribosomal RNA, 493 nt
Filed under: uncultured Acinetobacter sp.
Lineage: Bacteria; Pseudomonadati; Pseudomonadota; Gammaproteobacteria; Moraxellales; Moraxellaceae
Description: bacterial SSU rRNA
Rfam family: Bacterial small subunit ribosomal RNA
Source: RNAcentral
UGGCUCAGAUUGAACGCUGGCGGCAGGCUUAACACAUGCAAGUCGAGCGGAGAUGAGGUGCUUGCACCUUAUCUUAGCGGCGGACGGGUGAGUAAUGCUUAGGAAUCUGCCAUUUAGUGGGGGACAACAUUCCGAAAGGAAUGCUAAUACCGCAUACGUCCUACGGGAGAAAGCAGGGGAUCUUCGGACCUUGCGCUAAAUGAUGGGCCUAAGUCGGAUUAGCUAGUUGGUGGGGUAAAGGCCUACCAAGGCGACGAUCUGUAGCGGGUCUGAGAGGAUGAUCCGCCACACUGGGACUGAGACACGGCCCAGACUCCUACGGGAGGCAGCAGUGGGGAAUAUUGGACAAUGGGCGGAAGCCUGAUCCAGCCAUGCCGCGUGUGUGAAGAAGGCCUUUUGGUUGUAAAGCACUUUAAGCGAGGAGGAGGCUACUAGUACUAAUACUACUGGAUAGUGGACGUUACUCGCAGAAUAAGCACCGGCUAACUCUGUG